CACAUGGGUUUUUGUCAGGCAACGAGCGAGACCCACACUCCUAAUUGCCAGCAGUACCCUUGUGGUGGCUGGGUACAUUAGGAGGACUGCCGCUGCCAAAGCGGAGGAAGGAAUGGGCAACGGUAGGUCAGCAUGCCCCGAAUGUGCUGGGCUACACGCGGGCUACAAUGGUCGAGACAAUGGGUUGCAACCCCGAGAGGGGGCGCCAAUCUCCGAAACUCGAUCGUAGUUCGGAUUGAGGG
Molecule: ribosomal RNA, 242 nt
Filed under: uncultured haloarchaeon
Lineage: Archaea; Methanobacteriati; Methanobacteriota; Halobacteria; Halobacteriales; Halobacteriaceae
Description: partial 16S ribosomal RNA
Rfam family: Archaeal small subunit ribosomal RNA
Source: RNAcentral